UACAGAGGUGGCAAGCGUUGUUCGGAAUUACUGGGCGUAAAGGGCGCGUAGGCGGCCUGCUAAGUCGAACGUGAAAUCCCCGGGCUUAACCCGGGAACUGCGUCCGAUACUGGCUGGCUUGAAUCCGGGAGAGGGAUGCGGAAUUCCAGGUGUAGCGGUGAGAUGCGUAGAUAUCUGGAGGAACACCGGUGGCGAAGGCGGCAUCCUGGACCGGUAUUGACGCUGAUGCGCGAAAGCCAGGGGAGCAAACGGG
This 253-nucleotide ribosomal RNA is filed under the name uncultured bacterium. RNAcentral describes it as "partial 16S ribosomal RNA". It matches the Rfam family "Bacterial small subunit ribosomal RNA", at positions 524 to 776 of the family's 1533-position model. The record is from RNAcentral.